This 403-nucleotide unclassified non-coding RNA is filed under the name Hevea brasiliensis (rubber tree). The record is from RNAcentral. Lineage: Eukaryota; Viridiplantae; Streptophyta; Magnoliopsida; Malpighiales; Euphorbiaceae.
UUCCUCCAGCAGAUUCGUCUUAUCCUCCUGCUAGAGCCACUUUGCAGCCACCUUUACCUGGAUACAUAAAGCAGUCGACUGCAGUUUCACAAGCCCCUCCUAUACAGUCCCCUUUUGAAGCUCAACAAGGAAGUUACAUACCUCCUGCACCAACACCAUCUCCCCCUUUUCCUUCUCACCGAGGAGGUUUUGGUCAACCUCCAUCAGUUGCUGCCCCUUAUGGCUUGCAUUCAAAGGACCAAUUCCAACAGCCAGGCUCCAUACCUCCCAUAGGUGGCAUCCAAGGUUUGUUGGAAGAUUUCAGUUCACUGUCAGUUGGAUCUAUGCCAGGAUCAAUAGAGCCUGGACUUGAUCCAAAAGCUUUGCCAAGGCCUUUGGAUGGUGAUGUGGAGCCAACUCCAUU